RNAcentral lists this small RNA (112 nucleotides) under Salmonella enterica. Its description in RNAcentral is "partial RtT sRNA". It matches the Rfam family "RtT RNA", at positions 1 to 111 of the family's 130-position model. Rfam says of the family: This family represents a bacterial cis-regulatory element known as RtT RNA. The record is from RNAcentral. Lineage: Bacteria; Pseudomonadati; Pseudomonadota; Gammaproteobacteria; Enterobacterales; Enterobacteriaceae.
AUUCUACCCAUGUGGGGAAGGAUGAGAAGCUUCGACUAAGGUUCGAUUCGAGCGCAGCGAGAAAGCGUUGCCAACGGCAACGGCCCGAAGGGCGAAGCGCGCAGCGCUGAGU